AUGACCUCGACUUGGACACUGGACACCAUCGCAGUCUCAGCACUAUCAGCAUCCAUUGUCACCACAGUUAGCUCCUGUACAGGCAGAGCACACGGUACGACGUGCCAAGUAGUACGAAGAAGUACCAUGGAAGCCAUGGCGUCGCCGGUGCCCAUGGACGUCGACAAGCUCAGCUACGAGAUCUUCGCCUUGCUGGAGAGCAAGUUCUUGUUCGGCGCCGGUGGGGCCGGGUGCCUGUCCGGCCCGGGGACGCCGUUCCGAGGCGCCAACGACGGGCGCGUGCGCGUGCUUGCCGUCGAUGGCUGCGGCGCGGGCGCGGGGGACGCGCUGCUCGCCGCGGCCGCGCUCGCGAGGCUCGAGGCCGGCCUGCGCCAGCGCGCCGGCGACCCCGACGCGCGCGUCGCGGACUUCUUCGACGUGGCCGCCGGCGCCGGCGCGGGCGGCGUGCUCGCGGCGAUGCUGUUCCUCAAGGGCGCCGACGGGCGGCCGCGGUACACGGCCGAGGAGGCGCUGGCCUUCGUGGCCGGGAGCGUCGGGAAGGACUGGGGCGGCCGGCGCCGCGGGUGGACGAAAUUGUUCCGUGGUGGCGCAAGGAAGGCUGAGCGGUCCUUCCGGCGGGUGUUCGGCGACGCCACGCUCAGGGACACCGUGGCCCCGGUGCUCGUGCCCUGCUACGAUCUCGCCACGGGCGCGCCGUUCAUGUUCUCACGCGCCGACGCCGUCGAGAGCGACAGCUUCGACUUCCGCCUCACCGACGUCUGCGCGGCCACCUGCGCCGCCGCCGGUGCGGCCGCGGCCGUCAGGUCGGUCGACGGGCGCACGGCCAUCGCCGCCGCGUCCGGCGCCGUGGCGGCCAUGGGCAACCCGGCCUCCGCGGCGAUCACGCACGUCCUCCACAACAAGCAGGAGUUCCCCCUCGCCGUCAGCAUGGACGACAUCCUCGUCCUGUCCAUCGGCACCGGCGCGUCGUCCUCUGCCGCCACCUGCGGCAACGGGUGGAGCACGCCGAUUCCCGCGCGCUCGCCGUCGCGAGACGAGCUGGCGCGCGUCACCGCCCAGGGAGUCGCGGACAUGGUCGACGAGGCCGUCGCCAUGGCGUUCGGCCACGCGAGCGACAGCAACUACGUCCGCCUACAGGCCAGCAACGCACUCAAUUCGCCGCACACGCAGACGGCAGGCGCGGCGGCCGGAGCAAUGCUCUCGCAGCGGAACGUGGAGUCCGUGCUCUUCCGCGGGCGGAGGCUGUCGGACCGGACGAACGCCGAGAAGGUCGACGCCCUGGCGGCGGAGCUGGUGAAGGAGCAGGAGCGGCGGAUGCGCAGCCCACUCCCGAACGUGGUCAUCAAGCAGGUGGCCUCGCCGCGGCUGUCGUCGGCGACCACCGCGUCGUCGGUGACCGCGACGGUGAGGACGGCGUCGACGAUGCCGUCGCCGGCGUCGUGGGAUUCUCGCCAGUAG
Molecule: ribosomal RNA, 1458 nt
Filed under: Triticum aestivum (bread wheat)
Lineage: Eukaryota; Viridiplantae; Streptophyta; Magnoliopsida; Poales; Poaceae
Description: partial small subunit ribosomal RNA
Source: RNAcentral